Molecule: long non-coding RNA, 1267 nt
Organism: Dermacentor andersoni
Lineage: Eukaryota; Metazoa; Arthropoda; Arachnida; Ixodida; Ixodidae
Source: RefSeq, a predicted model, not a curated record
ACGUCACAAGACCAGUCGGCUGCCCCGAUUUGAAGUGCGCGUUUGAAGUGUCUUUUUUGACAUCAGAUGGGGUGGCCGUGCGAUAAUUUGGUACGUUGCCUCGGUUUACGCCCUCUGCAACGCACGCUGUUCUUCUGAUAGGAACCAUCGUCUUUUUUCCAUCUGAGCUCAGUAUAAUUUUUUGUCUACUUCUUUAAUUCCACGAAGAGCACCCUGUGCGGAAUUCCUCAGCCCGCUUCCCCUUCUGGCUCGAAAUGGACGCGCCAUGCUCGUCUUCCAAACAGCAAGAUGCCACGACACCUUAUGUGGCCGCGCCCACAAUGUCCGCGACCCUGACAGUCAGGUGUCAACGAUGCGACGUGCGACCGGCAGGCAUUGCUGCAAUGGCCACCCCAUGGAAAACUAUCCUGAUAAGACGAUGUGCUCUGAGCCAUCACGUCGGCUAGACCAGGCCCACGGAUCCAAUUGUCAGGCAAGCGCUCAUUGCGGGCGAUAUUCUGUGCAUUGCAAUCAUUGAACCUCCGUAAAUUUUCCCCGAGUUUGCGUGCUUGUAAUGCUUUAACGUUACCACUGUAGUCGAGCUGCGUUUUAUGCGCUUGCUGUGUGAAAGCCUGUCAGCGGAACGUCUCUCUGUCCACGUCAUGUGCUAGCGUGUUCAGGCUGUUCGCAAGAAGGCACGGCAACGAGGUAGUGCCGUGUGCUUUCACGCCGUGGACUUGAGGUGGUGCUGCCUGCAUGAGCGUCAGAGUAUACCUGUGCAUAUUUCCUCCUCGUGCUCGUUUUUGUGGCUUCCUGUACUACCAAGGAUGAAGUUCGUCACGCCUGCUAGCCAGUGCGAGCCCGGUUCCGUGGAAAUAGCGCUCGCGGAACGAAAGUGACGAUUUUUUUGUUGCCCAUCUAAGGAAGCCAAUGAAGAAACUGAACUAGUCCUGCUACCCCGUUGGGAUUACGCAGUAAACAGGAAUUCGAGGCAACGAGGGCAGCAGUGUUCGAAAGAAGAUAAGAGUCGCGACGAGGAAGCUUCGAGGGGAUUCAACGUAUCUAAAGGAUUUGCUGUGGCUGAAGAGGAACGAGUCGCGGUCGGGCCAGUGUUGCACUUCCUCCGGGACUGAUCCACAUUCCUUCCCACGGACUACGACACAAAAAAAAUGCCGACCAACUAGAGACUGCCAGCUUCGCUGUAAAACACAUGACCUUUCAAAAUGGUCCCAGCCCAACCCAGUACAACAGGCAUGCAUCCAGAAAUACAUUAUGUGCCAUUGGCAAA